UCCGCUGGGGACAUCCUUCAGGACCCAAUCCACUCGGGGACUCAGCUUGGGGGAACAACCAAUACAACUUGCUGGGAACGAACCAAAGCGACUGCGCUGAGGAACCAACAAAGCAACUCGCUGGGGAGUAAUAAGGCGACUUGCUAGGGACAACCUGGUGACUUCACUGGGGAGAGCCAACCAAUCCACAAGUAGGAAAAACUCUGCUUUGGGAAAUAAAU
Molecule: long non-coding RNA, 221 nt
Filed under: Lathyrus oleraceus (garden pea)
Lineage: Eukaryota; Viridiplantae; Streptophyta; Magnoliopsida; Fabales; Fabaceae
Description: Pisum sativum (pea) long non-coding RNA (PSAT_LNC041319)
Source: RNAcentral